Molecule: long non-coding RNA, 1416 nt
Organism: Triticum dicoccoides
Lineage: Eukaryota; Viridiplantae; Streptophyta; Magnoliopsida; Poales; Poaceae
Exons: 2
Source: RefSeq, a predicted model, not a curated record
AACCAAAAUCAUGGUGAAAAUGGUCCUGCUAGCAUAUAUUGAGGAUGCCUUUUAAUAGAACGAAGGGAGAAUGUUUACUAUUCGUGGGUUUGUGAUUGUCCAAUACUACAGAGGUAGUACUUGACAAGCCUUUGUAAUUCUAAAAUGUUUGCAAAUGGACUACAAAGAACUCAAUAAAAUUUGCUUAGGUCAAGAGUUGCGCACCACGUCCACCGCAUGUCCACAGGCUCCACAUGCAGCACAGAUCAAAUGCUAAUCCUCUCAACCAACCAAUCCAAAAGAUGCCGAACCCUCAUGGCCAUGGGCCACUAUACUUGUUUAAAAAUGGGCACCGGACCCAGGACAGCCAAUUGGUGACUCAUCAUGUCUCAUCCCAAAAACGGAAAACUUUGUGGUGAAAUAUUUUGCAGUAUAUAACUCACUGGGCAGCGAUCUCCAUAUUAUUCCAUAUCCAACUUGCUCGUGCCUAUAAAUGAAGACCAUCCCACCCUAUGGCAAUGCACACCAGCAGACCAUUCCACAUGAUAGCAAAGCAGUCAGGGCAGAGGAAGAGGAAGAAGGGGCGAGAGCCGAGAAGUAAGUACCUGUAGAGCGUAUACUGGGGAGGCUUCUGCUGGGUUGCCAUACGCUAAGAGGCAGAGAACGGGAUGCAGCCAAGGAUGACUUGCCGGCUCCUGGUGCUGGGAGUUCGUUGAGCUUUAGAGUUAGCCGGCAAGUUGUCUUUGGCUACACUUAGUUCUCUUCUUCUGGUGUUUGGCCCUCAAGCAUUGUUGAGAAAACUCUAAUGCCUGCAUUUCUAUCAACUUCCAUCAUGGAAAUACAUGAAUAAGUAUGCAAAGCAUAAAAGAUAAGAGAUUGACUUUCUUGUGGUACCCCCUGACGAAAAUGAAAGUCCGAAGGAUGUACAGAACACACUGCAUGACAAAAGAUUCCUCAAGGCUCUCACAUGGCGGCAAAAAUUGUACUUGCAAUAUUGUACCACAAAGAUUAUGUAUACACAAAAGAAAAUCUUAAUUAUGUAGGACAGGAAGCAGGAGGUGCAUCAGCAAUGUAACCAUGUUACAAAAGCACUGCAUUCCCUUUUCAAUACAAAGAAGAAUGGACAACUUCAUUCCUCAAGUAAUCAGUGUUAGUUGUCCUGUUCAUGUCCUUUGAAUAGUGUACUUUACUUUAUUGGCUAAAAGCCCAAAGGUGACGAUAUUAACGAGAGCUUUACCUCAUUAUUAGCACAAAAACUAAAACAUUUUCCGGAUGCAAGGUAUCAUGGGUGAAUGCUCAGCAUCGAUAAACCAUAAUAAUGAGCUAAUGACUGAUGCAGCUUUCUGAAGGGAACAAUGCGGAGUAACUAGUAAGGCUCUAUAUAUAACUUUUAUUCAAAAAAAUCAUAAUAAAAAUGAUGAAACUUGUCAGCAUCAA